Long non-coding RNA from Juglans regia (Persian walnut), 88 nucleotides. RefSeq lists it as uncharacterized. The transcript is spliced from 3 exons. The record is from RefSeq and is a predicted model, not a curated record. NCBI's taxonomy places the organism in Eukaryota, Viridiplantae, Streptophyta, Magnoliopsida, Fagales, Juglandaceae.
UGGUCGCAAAUGUAGCUAAGUAUACUGGAUUGUUAUGGCUCAACGGCCGAUUAACCAAACUAUCAGUCAAAGAAUAUUAUACAUGGAG